UACCAGCCGAGUCACAACCUGGCAGGGACAGUGAGGAUUAGUGGAGUCUUCACGAUGCAAGUGUGCUGAAUUAGUGUGAAGAUAGUAUUGCUGACACUUUUGUAGAAUGGCACAGACAAACAAGAUAGAACUUAGCUGAAAACUUCUUCUUUGGUAACUAGUUUUAUAGGACUGAAAGUGACUCAAGCUGCUGAAGUCAAAAAGCCUUUACCAGUAUCACUGCAGCCAGCACAGCAUGCUUCAGUACUGACCUGCCAGGCAAGCUGUGCUCCUUGGAAUGAAGUUUGUGGGUGUGUCCGACUGCUUUUGGAUUAGAUUUGAGGCCUGUCCAGAGGAAGGAAUUCAGGAGUGCUGCUGUAGAUCCGGUCAAAAGCCCGUGACUUGGGAGGUCAUGGGCCCUAGGGAGGAACCUACUACCAUUGUACUGCUAAAUGGCAUGUUGUCAAACUGUCCUUUAAAUUGUUUACACUGCUAGAUUGAUGCUGCCCUCAACCAUGCCAGAGAAGUUUCACUCCACAAGGGUAAUCUCAUAACUGGUCAAAGUGCUGAGUAUGUGGGACUAUUGACUUAAACUGGACAUCUACAUCAACUCCUGACCUAAGUCAACAGGUCACUCUUCAGUGACAGACUCCUAAGUGGAAGGCCAGGAGAUGAGAUGAAGAAGAUAGAAAAGGUGGGAUCAGGAGGUUUUGCACAACCUGUUUUACACCAAGCAAGUUAAUUAAGAAGUGCCUCAUUGUACACACUGUUUUCAGGAGGAAACUGCACUGAGGGCCUCUGACAAAGCCUUAGGUUUGUGUGGCUCCUCAAAACUCCUCUCUCCAAGGCUCAAGGAAGACCUCAGAGGAUGCGCAGGGAAAACAUGGCAGAGCUGGAGAAUUGGAGGAGUGCUGAGAGACUCCGUCUUCUGCACACACAGGGCAGUUGUGCCCAUGAACUCACUGCAGCUGUGGUUAACCCACAUAAAAUGAAGUCUUCAAGAUCUGUCUGCAGCAGCACUAACCGGACUCAGCAGGUUAUUAAUAAAAGAAAGGAGAGGACACAGAAGCAACACAACCCCAUCAAGCUGCUGAGCCAACAACCCCUCUGUGGACCGGAUCCUCUCCUCAGAUAACUUCUGUCUGCAAAUGGGGAAGAAGGAGGAUGGAGAGAAACAAAGCAAGUUCAUCUAUUGCCCCAGAACACUGUGCAAAGAGGCUACUUAAGUGUAAAUGUGGACUCUGGUUGUGGCAUGGCCACUAAUCAGGUGUCUGUCACAGCAACGCACAGAUGACUGAGAAGGUGGUGAGAUAUGCGGAGGAGGAACUCCAGUCAUGGAAAGGGUUAUAACUCGACUGGAUCAAAUCCAGGACCACCCUCCUGGUCUACUUGCUCUCCAAUUAUUCCCCAUGGUGGUGCUGAAGAUUGUACCUGGAGCCUCGAUGUGCUAGACAAAGCACACUCCCCUGAGCUCCAUCCCCAACCCUAAAAUGAUCUUUUUUGAUCAAGUGUUCUGCUUACUAGUCCUGCUGACCAGCACACCUUUACAAAUCUGUAGUUUGUAAAGAUUUAUUCUCUUUAUUUUAUAUGUAUG
This is a long non-coding RNA of Rattus norvegicus (Norway rat), 1573 nucleotides long. Ensembl lists it as uncharacterized. Lineage: Eukaryota; Metazoa; Chordata; Mammalia; Rodentia; Muridae. The record is from Ensembl.